Molecule: long non-coding RNA, 3549 nt
Organism: Eleginops maclovinus (Patagonian blennie)
Lineage: Eukaryota; Metazoa; Chordata; Actinopteri; Perciformes; Eleginopidae
Exons: 4
Source: RefSeq, a predicted model, not a curated record
CCCUUCCUUCAGGGCAGACCUGUUCCAACUGCCAUCAUAGUGCUCCCUGUCCUAUCUGGCCUUCCCGACUCAAAAUCAUUCAGAACUCUUCUGCCUGGAUCAUCAAGUCUGCUGUUUUACAGCCUAUCGUACCAAAUGACUUCUACUUCACACAUCAUAGAACAAUCCAUGUGGUCUUUGUCUCAGUUGCUGGUGGUGGACCUAAUCCCCUUCCGUAGGAUCAUCCGGAGGAGGUGAAAUGAAAAAUAAUAACGUAAGUAAUGGUCAAUGGAGAGGCUGUCCUUACACUGAUCACUGCAGAUCUCCAUGGAAACCUUUGAUCUCUGGUGCGCCAGCUGCCCGGCGGUGUAUCCGUCCGCGUUGCAGGCCCCGGGGUCUGCGGUGAGACGGAUCAGCAGAUGGAUCACCUCCAGGUUUCCCUCGCUGGCGGCCCCGUGCAGCGGAAGGUUAUCAUUGUCAUCACACAGGUUUACAUCAGCGCCGUACUGCACCAGCUUCUGCACAGAACCUAUCCAACCGGCUCUCGCUGCGUCGUGCAGUGGGGUGAGAUUCAGAAUAGGGUCUCGGAUGUUUGGGUUUGCCCCUUCGCGUAGAAGCGCCUCCACUAAAUCGGGAUUGGCCCAAUUCACCACCUGCAGACCAACAGAUGAGAGACUCAGAAUACUUUACUGUCCAUUAAAUGUACCCGUGGUGUGGUGAAGUGUGUACUGGACUUCGAUUUUGGGGUACUUGCACUUUACUUAUCAGAGUUUGAAGUACGUUAGUACAUUUACUCAAGUAUACUGUUCUUAACAGUGUUGAGGUUCUUGUAGUUUACUUGAGUAUGUUAUGCUGCUUCUUUAUGUUCUUGUACUCCACUACAAUUCAGAGGUAAAUCAUGUACUUUUACUCCACUUCAUUUAUUGAAUAAUUUUAGUUGCAGAUUAGGAUUAUUGAUGGUAAAUAUAAUCUCCCUUAAAUCAGACUGUAGUUCACCUGGAGUAAAUCCAGCAGCUACCCUGCAGUAUACAAAGCCAUUCAAACUAGCUGCACCUUUACCAGCUCUGAGAACACUUUAAUGAUCAAUCAUUAUAAAACAUAUCAGAGAUAUUAUUCUGAAAUGGACCAAUCAAACAAUGACUACUUUUACUUUUGGUACUAAUAUUUUUGCAGACUUCAUUUGUAGCAUUUUGAAUGCAGGACUUUUUCUUGUAACAGAAUUCUGCACUCUUUUUACAAAAUAAGUUACUUUACAGAUUCAGAUUAUUAGGAAAUUCAAAAAUAUAAAUAAACUAUGCUAUAUAGUUAUAGGUAAAACAUCCAAGUACAUCAAGUAAUUAUAAGCAUACCUCCACUACUACAGUAGCUGUGAUAAACACAUUAUUGCUAAAAAAUAAAUAAAUGAAUCCAGUAUUUAAUAUAUAUUUUUCUGAUAUGGGACAUUAUGCAAAAUAAAUACUUAGGUAAGAUCCUGAAUGCAGGUCUUUUACUUAUACUUAGUACUUUUACACUGUAGUAUUAUCAUAGAUAGAUAGAUAGAUAAAGUACCUUAUUCAUCCCAAUUUGGGAAAUUCUUGCAUUGCAGCAGCUCAAUAAAAAUAAAAUAGCAAUACAAAUGUAUAAAAUAGACAUACAAAAUGAAAAUAUACGUACAAAAUGUACACAAAAUAUAAACAAACAUAUUAAUAUAAAGUAGGAUAUUGUAUAAACAUUAAGUGUUUGAGGAAUGGAAUAUUAAAUAGAAUCUAAAUGUGAAAUGUACAGCGUGGGUUCAACUGAAGUAAUGCGAUAGAAGCUGUGGAUAAGAGAGUUAUCUGCCAGCCAGGGGUGAAUUGUUAUAGAGUGUUAUGGCAGUAGGCAGCAAUGUUUUCCUGAAUCUGUCCUUGUGAGAGCAGAGCUGGAGCUUCAUCCACCACUAAAAUGUACAUAACGGAAAUGUGUCUCUGGCACUGGAAAAACAGGUCAAAUUACAAUCACCACAUCCUAACAUUCAUACACACAGGAAGAGGGACAGUGCAUCUUAAAGAGACUAAGCGGCCUGAUUGUUGCACAUAGUUGUGCAAUAACAAUUUAUGUGCAAUAUAUAAACAUAAAUAUGCCAUUAUUAAUAACGGCAAUAUUACCUGGCUGUUAUAUCUCCUUCAGGAUGUGUAUUUUGUAAAUUGUGUGUUUUUCUUUAUCUUGAUAUUUUUUUUAAUGCAUAUUUUCUUUUGUAAAGCUGUCUUUGGCUCUGUUGCUGCUGUAGCAAAUUUAAAUUUCCCCUUUGUGGGACGAAUAAAGGGAUUCUGAUUCUGAAUAGCCUAAUAACAUGUGUGCUUUUAAAUAGAAAAAUUCCCCUUUUUGUGUUGCAUGCACAGUGGGAACAUGCACAUAGAUAUAACAAAGGAACAGUGCAGAGAAAGGGCUUAACUUAUUAAAUAUGCAAUGCAUGCAAGUUGAUACAAAUCUUAAAAAAGAGAAAGAAUAGGAUCAUGGAUGGGCUGGCCCUUUUUUUUUUUUUUUACUUUUAAAGACCUGUUAUUAGGAAGAAUGCAUUUUUUCUCAGCUGCAGUGUUAAUGUGGAGAUGUGCCAUGACACAGCCACAUGUAGUAGUCAGCCAUCUUGUAAGCCCUGUCCCUAUUUCUCCAUUUUGAUUAGCUCUUUCACCUUCAAAUGUAACAUGCAUUUCCCCUUAUAAGUAGGAAAUGGGCUUACUCUUUAUUUAUUUUCAUCAAGCACAAAAUGAACACUGGAAAUACGUUCAGUUGUGUAACUAGUUGUGACAGGGUCUCAUUGUUCUAGCAUCGACAUCAAGUGAUAAUAAUCUCACAUGAAAAAAUUCAGAAAUUAUUUUGACAAUUUCUAUUUUGUCUUAAGGAGUGUAUUUAGAUUAGAUUUGCUACAAACUCCAACAACCUGUCCACAGAUUCCUCAUAUACUAUAAAACUAUUUAAACUGUUCAAAAUGAAAAACACAAUCUACUGAAUAUGACCUUCUAAUAGUACGUUCUACAGAAAAGAUCAGGAUGAAAUACUAUUUCUUCAAGUUCCCCUUGGCACAAUUUAAAAGUGAUUUACUAACCUGCAGUGCAGUCCUGUUGUAUUUAUUAAAUCCAUUAACAUCUGCUCCAUUUUGCAGCAAUUCCAACACUUUUUGUAGGUCGCCACGGGCAGAAGCAUUGCAGAGGUUGUCAGACAUUUUUCUGAAAAGGUUUAGGGAGUCAAGGUUUCGGACAAACUGUGACGGAGGACGAUAUCUGCUUGAGGUUAAGUAUCAAGAGCAAUGCAACCAGAAGCACCUCCUCCAUACCUGCCCACAUUGCACGGACUUGACCCAGACCGCCCUCACUGUAAAUCAUAGUUUAGAAUAGAUACAUCUAUUGGUAUGGGGCCUGCUUUUCUGUUUGCCUCCCUUUAUUGACUUAACCAUAUUAAAAACACACCAAUGUCAAUCAAAUGCUUUGUACAAGGUAGUAGCAAACAGCCUUGUCAAAAAUUGUUUGACCUGUCAAAAAUUGUUUGAAUGACUAUCAGCUAAGAAGCUGAAAACAUGUAUAUUAUUGUAUGAACGAAUAAAUAAAUAAAACUUCA